Molecule: ribosomal RNA, 565 nt
Filed under: Trichoderma hamatum
Lineage: Eukaryota; Fungi; Ascomycota; Sordariomycetes; Hypocreales; Hypocreaceae
Description: eukaryotic LSU rRNA
Rfam family: 5.8S ribosomal RNA (bases 189-342)
Source: RNAcentral
AAGGGAACUACGAGCUAACUCCCAACCCAAUGUGAACGUUACCAAACUGUUGCCUCGGCGGGGUCACGCCCCGGGUGCGUAAAAGCCCCGGAACCAGGCGCCCGCCGGAGGAACCAACCAAACUCUUUCUGUAGUCCCCUCGCGGACGUAUUUCUUACAGCUCUGAGCAAAAAUUCAAAAUGAAUCAAAACUUUCAACAACGGAUCUCUUGGUUCUGGCAUCGAUGAAGAACGCAGCGAAAUGCGAUAAGUAAUGUGAAUUGCAGAAUUCAGUGAAUCAUCGAAUCUUUGAACGCACAUUGCGCCCGCCAGUAUUCUGGCGGGCAUGCCUGUCCGAGCGUCAUUUCAACCCUCGAACCCCUCCGGGGGAUCGGCGUUGGGGAUCGGGACCCCUCACCGGGUGCCGGCCCUGAAAUACAGUGGCGGUCUCGCCGCAGCCUCUCCUGCGCAGUAGUUUGCACAACUCGCACCGGGAGCGCGGCGCGUCCACGUCCGUAAAACACCCAACUUCUGAAAUGUUGACCUCGGAUCAGGUAGGAAUACCCGCUGAACUUAAGCAUAUCAAA